GAAAUGCGAUAAGUAGUGUGAAUUGCAGAAUUCAGUGAAUCAUCGAAUCUUUGAACGCACAUUGCGCCUUCUGGUAUUCCGGGAGGCAUGCCUGUCCGAGCGUCAUGAAGCAAACUCCUCAAGCAUUUUGUUGCUUGGUCCUGGGGGAACAGGUGCGUGAGCUCCUGUCCCCUGCAAUUCAUAGGCGGAGACCACUGCGACAUCAGGUGUGAUAGAUAACCUUUUCACUUGAUGCCUCGUAGAUGCCGGUUCUUGCCGCAGCAACCAAGCCCCCCAGCUAUACAUUCGGUUUGACCUCGGAUCAGGUAGGGAUACCCGCUGAACUUAA
This 328-nucleotide unclassified non-coding RNA is filed under the name uncultured Sarcosomataceae. RNAcentral describes it as "sequence contains ITS1". The stretch from base 1 to 105 matches the Rfam family "5.8S ribosomal RNA", at positions 50 to 154 of the family's 154-position model. The record is from RNAcentral. Lineage: Eukaryota; Fungi; Ascomycota; Pezizomycetes; Pezizales; Sarcosomataceae.